ACGGGUGAGUAACACGUGGGCAAUCUGCCCUUCACUCUGGGACAAGCCCUGGAAACGGGGUCUAAUACCGGAUAUCACUUCCACUCGCAUGGGUGGGGGUUGAAAGCUCCGGCGGUGAAGGAUGAGCCCGCGGCCUAUCAGCUUGUUGGUGAGGUAAUGGCUCACCAAGGCGACGACGGGUAGCCGGCCUGAGAGGGCGACCGGCCACACUGGGACUGAGACACGGCCCAGACUCCUACGGGAGGCAGCAGUGGGGAAUAUUGCACAAUGGGCGAAAGCCUGAUGCAGCGACGCCGCGUGAGGGAUGACGGCCUUCGGGUUGUAAACCUCUUUCAGCAGGGAAGAAGCGAAAGUGACGGUACCUGCAGAAGAAGCGCCGGCUAACUACGUGCCAGCAGCCGCGGUAAUACGUAGGGCGCGAGCGUUGUCCGGAAUUAUUGGGCGUAAAGAGCUCGUAUGCGGCUUGUCACGUCAGGAGUGAAAGACCGGGGCUUAACUCCGGUUCUGCAUUCGAUACGGGCUAGCUAGAGUGUGGUACGGGAGAUCGGAAUUCCUGGUGUUUGUUGAUAUGUCAUAUAUCA
RNAcentral lists this ribosomal RNA (581 nucleotides) under Streptomyces sp. B15. Its description in RNAcentral is "bacterial SSU rRNA". It matches the Rfam family "Bacterial small subunit ribosomal RNA", at positions 102 to 699 of the family's 1533-position model. The record is from RNAcentral. Lineage: Bacteria; Bacillati; Actinomycetota; Actinomycetes; Kitasatosporales; Streptomycetaceae.